RNAcentral lists this ribosomal RNA (468 nucleotides) under uncultured bacterium. RNAcentral describes it as "partial 16S ribosomal RNA". It matches the Rfam family "Bacterial small subunit ribosomal RNA", at positions 28 to 507 of the family's 1533-position model. The record is from RNAcentral.
GACGAACGCUGGCGGCGUGCUUAACACAUGCAAGUCGAACGGAAAGGCCCUGCUUUUGUGGGGUGCUCGAGUGGCGAACGGGUGAGUAACACGUGAGUAACCUGCCCUUGACUUUGGGAUAACUUCAGGAAACUGGGGCUAUUACCGGAUAGGAGCUCCUGCUGCAUGGUGGGGGUUGGAACGUUUCGGCGGUUGGGGAUGGACUCGCGGCUUAUCAGCUUGUUGGUGGGGUAGUGGCUUACCAAGGCUGUGACGGGUAGCCGGCCUGAGAGGGUGACCGGCCACAUUGGGACUGAGAUACGGCCCAGACUCCUACGGGAGGCAGCAGUGGGGAAUAUUGCACAAUGGGCGGAAGCCUGAUGCAGCAACGCCGCGUGCGGGAUGACGGCCUUCGGGUUGUAAACCGCUUUCGCCUGUGACGAAGCGUGAGUGACGGUAAUGGGUAAAGAAGCACCGGCUAACUACGUG